AGGAUUUUUAUUGACCUAUUUUUGAGCCUACCUUAUUGCUCUUAUUCAGAAUUGGAGUUGUCAUUUUAUACUUAAAAGGUCAUUGUCACAGCAAUUUUACUCUUUAUGUAUAUUGGUGAACUAUAUAUGAUAAACACGAAUAUUGUAAUAUCUUCUAUCUUUGAGAAUAUUGUUCAUACCCACGGCAAAGGCUGGAUGGGAUUUUGAAAUUUACAAACAUUGACCAUUUUGAUCACGACCCCUGAUGAAGUCCUAUAUGGACGAAACGCGUUGGGUUUUCACGCAUUUGUGAAUUUGAGCAUACAUCUGAACGCUUUGGUGGAAGAAUUGAUAUUCGAUUUAAGUGUAGUCAUCACCAAACAGAAUUCGUAAGAUGAUUUUCAAUCUAUAUUGUCCACUUAUGGUAUAAAGUUAUCUACUUGUUUUACUGAUGUUUUUAUGUAAUAUUGCAGUAUUCACUGUCAAGUUUUAAGAAUAAAUACAUCUAUAUGUGACAUCUGAGGUGGUUCA
Molecule: long non-coding RNA, 510 nt
Organism: Pseudophryne corroboree (corroboree frog)
Lineage: Eukaryota; Metazoa; Chordata; Amphibia; Anura; Myobatrachidae
Exons: 4
Source: RefSeq, a predicted model, not a curated record